Molecule: ribosomal RNA, 150 nt
Filed under: Escherichia coli
Lineage: Bacteria; Pseudomonadati; Pseudomonadota; Gammaproteobacteria; Enterobacterales; Enterobacteriaceae
Description: partial 23S ribosomal RNA
Rfam family: Bacterial large subunit ribosomal RNA (bases 1-132)
Source: RNAcentral
CCGAGAUGAGUUCUCCCUGACUCCUUGAGAGUCCUGAAGGAACGUUGAAGACGACGACGUUGAUAGGCCGGAUGUGUAAGCGCAGCGAUGCGUUGAGCUAACCGGUACUAAUGAACCGUGAGGCUUAACCUUACAACGCCGAAGGUGUUU